UUUUGCUGCUUUGUGUU
RNAcentral lists this small RNA (17 nucleotides) under Arabidopsis thaliana (thale cress). RNAcentral's name for it is "ATSL253600". The record is from RNAcentral. Lineage: Eukaryota; Viridiplantae; Streptophyta; Magnoliopsida; Brassicales; Brassicaceae.